RNAcentral lists this ribosomal RNA (468 nucleotides) under uncultured bacterium. Its description in RNAcentral is "partial 16S ribosomal RNA". It matches the Rfam family "Bacterial small subunit ribosomal RNA", at positions 28 to 507 of the family's 1533-position model. The record is from RNAcentral.
GACGAACGCUGGCGGCGUGCUUAACACAUGCAAGUCGAACGGAAAGGCCCUGCUUUUGUGGGGUGCUCGAGUGGCGAACGGGUGAGUAACACGUGAGUAACCUGCCCUUGACUUUGGGAUAACUUCAGGAAACUGGGGCUAAUACCGGAUAGGAGCUCCUGCUGCAUGGUGGGGGUUGGAAAGUUUCGGCGGUUGGGGAUGGACUCGCGGCUUAUCAGCUUGUUGGUGGGGUAGUGGCUUACCAAGGCUUUGACGGGUAGCCGGCCUGGGAGGGUGACCGGCCACAUUGGGACUGAGAUACGGCCCAGACUCCUACGGGGGGCAGCAGUGGGGAAUAUUGCACAAUGGGCGGAAGCCUGAUGCAGCAGCGCCGCGUGCGGGAUGACGGCCUUCGGGUUGUAAACCGCUUUCGCCUGUGACGAAGCGUGAGUGACGGUAAUGGGUAAAGAAGCACCGGCUAACUACGUG